RNAcentral lists this long non-coding RNA (2678 nucleotides) under Pandoravirus salinus. RNAcentral's name for it is "putative ncRNA". The record is from RNAcentral.
CGCACAUUUUAUGGGUAAAUUAUGACGAUUUACUCACGAUGCAGAAAACAGUGUUGGUGGGUUCGAUUCCUGUCCGAGGGCGAGUUGGCCCUCAACCAGCAUUUAGGCCUGGAACAUCUCGACCGCUCCUUUUUUUUGUUCGGCCACAAGCCGUGCGCUCUCGGUGUAGCGCCAAAUGGAUAUCGACGAGCCAGAAAAAACUUGUGGCGGUGCGUCUCAUCGACGGACAUGAGCCGGUCCAUGCGCGGUCCUUUUCCCGUCUCUUCCUUUUUUUUUCUGUGCUUUUUUUCUGUGCCUUGUAAUCUUGUUGUGCCAAUAGACCUGGGCCUGGCCUACUCGUACUUUGCCGCUCGGCGCGCCCAAAAGUCGCGGCACCAACGGUCGGCCUUGUUGGUGCCCUUUUGGUCGAGGUCGUCGUACCACACGCCGUCGACGUCGCCGGCGUCCUUGUAGCCACCCAACGCGUAAUUGCGCUCGAACCAGUUGGCAAAGAGGCUGUGCGCGACCGAGCGCCUCGGGAAGACCCCGUCGCCGCGGCGCUGCAUCAAUUCGUGCCUGAUGGCGUCCGGCGGCGGGCGCGCUGGGAGCAGGCUGGGCGCAUGAUUGCCGCGAUCAUCGUAGCGGGCCGCCACCGCGGCAUACUUGCUCACUUGAUAAAAGGGCAGGCCCGCCGUGGCCAUCAUGGUCAGCGGACCGCCGCCGAGCAUCGCGAUGGCGCUAAACACGCGCGCGUGCAUGCGGUACAAGUGCCACCCGCGCACCUGCUCACAACCGAAUGGCGCGUUCGGUGCGUCGACGUCGACGUCGCUGCCGGGCGCUGCGGAGCGGAAGGCAAAGGCGUCGAUCGCCAUGAUCUGGGCGGCGGGUCGGCGCGCGAGCGCCGUCAUCAUGGCGCCGUGCGCAUAGUCUGCGCACCGCGUGAUGGCGUCCAAGAGGUUUUUGACGACGUCCGUCACUCCGACGACGGCAUCGCCGCGCCAGCACCAUUGGCGGCGGCGGUCGCACAUGAGCGCAUCCGGGGCGCGGUCGUCGCCGUCGUUGUCGUCGUCGCCGUGUAUGGCAUCGCACGGCACGCCGCCGACCGUGGGCCACGCCGCGAACCGGUCGCGGUACCGAGUCAUGCACUCGCACAGAUCUCCAUCGAUGGCCGCGGUGUACUCGUAGUGUCUGGCGCGCUCGCUGUCGGUCGGCUCCUCUGGCCAUUCGAUCUCGUCGGCACUGUCGUCGCUGCUGUCGCCAGUGCUGUCGUCGGCGUUGGCAUCGCAGGCCUUUGGCGUGCGCGUCCUUUGACGCGCCGUGCCCCGCUUGCCGGCCGGCGACUGAGCGUUGCGAGAGCCUCUGUGUGAAACCGUGCCUCGCCUACCUCUUUGUCGCUUCUUCUCUGGGGGACCUUCCCCCUGGCCUUUGGGAUGCGACGUCUCCAUCCCCGCCUGGUCGUGCGCACCCAGGCGAUUGUGCGUCGGGUCGACCUUUUGCUCGUGCGCUUCGUGUGCGUCCUCGUCGCGCCAGUAGGCGUCGCCUUGCAUCACGUCGUCUAUGACCCUGUCGAUGACGUCAUCGACAGCACUAGCGACAGUGACGCCAGUGGCGGGAGAGAUGCUGGUCACACAAGCGGCAUCGUCGUGCCUGGGCAUCUUGCGCGCUCUGUAUCCGCACGCCUCAGAAGCCGCGCGACCCGACGUCGGCUCCAGUGCUUCUUCUGGCGCGCGAUCGUCGUCUUGCUUGCGCGCACGCUUGCCGGCCGUCUGUGCCGUCGCGACGGGUCGCUCUCCGUCGCUCGCUUCCUCGGCGUUGCGCGCAGCGUCGACGUGAUGGCGCAUCAUGUGUUUUUUGCCGUCGGACCGCAUGGUCGCGCACGCACGCCUCCAGAUCGACCAGAGAGUUGCUCGCAGUGCGUGCUGUUCCGGCGCCUUGAACCAUGCUACGAGGGCCUCCACUGGGCAGUCCAUCCAGUCGAGCCCGUCGAUGUCGGGCGCGUGCUUGCUCACCAGUGCCGUCAGGCAUCGGUAGGUGGACGGACACGCCUCUGCCGCCAGCGCUCUGUCGCCGUGUGUAGCGCCCAUGGCACUCGUCGGCGCAAGCAAAACCUCACACAUGAGCGUGUAGACCAACACCUCACGGAUCGACCGGCGUACGGUGCUACGGAGAAGACCGACGGCAUUGUCGCACACCUCGUCAAAGGAGGCGUAGCGCCAUCCGGCUACCGCUGGCGGACCCUCCGCCGCCGUCGCCUUGUCGGCGUCGCCGUUGCGGGACACGGCGACAAAAUAGCAGCGGAGACGGUGCAGCGCGCGGUACAAACCUAGAUCGCCCUUGGCUUUGGCGGCCUUGAAUUUCAUUGCCUCUCUCAGCGCCUCGUCCAUGGCGACGUGCGUCGGCGUCGCCGCCAGGUACGCCUCUGUCGCUGGCGCGGCGUCGACGACGUUGGCGCCCGCGGCGCAUGGCUGUGCCUCUCCUUCGUCCCUCUCGUCCUGCAUGCCGUCGGCGUCGUCACGGGUACUGCGCUCUCUGUGUGCGUGGUGUGUGCGUAUGGCUCUGUGGUCUGCCCGCACACGAGGGUUCCGCCCAGCCCACUAACUGACACGGCAGAGUCGGCCGCGUACGCGCGCGGCCUCUGUCUUGCGCAGCGUGGGUCGCCUACACGUCCGUGCGUUUCGCCGCCGCCGCCGCCGCCGCCC